This 127-nucleotide small RNA is filed under the name Marmota monax (woodchuck). Lineage: Eukaryota; Metazoa; Chordata; Mammalia; Rodentia; Sciuridae. The record is from RNAcentral.
GCCGGGCACAGUGGCGCACGCCUGUAAUCCCAAUGGCUCCGGAGGCUGAGGGAGGAGGAUCACAGGUUCAAAGCCAGCCUCAGCAACUUAGUGAGGCUGUGAGCAACCUGGUGAGAGGCUGUCUCUA